UAGGGAAUCUUCCGCAAUGGGCGAAAGCCUGACGGAGCAACGCCGCGUGAGUGAUGAAGGUCUUCGGAUCGUAAAACUCUGUUAUUAGGGAAGAACAAAUGUGUAAGUAACUAUGCACGUCUUGACGGUACCUAAUCAGAAAGCCACGGCUAACUACGUUCCAGCAGCCGCGGUAAUACGUAGGUGGCAAGCGUUAUCCGGAAUUAUUGGGCGUAAAGCGCGCGUAGGCGGUUUUUUAAGUCUGAUGUGAAAGCCCACGGCUAAACCGUGGAGGGUCAUUGGAAACUGGAAAACUUGAGUGCAGAAGAGGAAAGUGGAAUUCCAUGUGUAGCGGUGAAAUGCGCAGAGAUAUGGAGGAACACCAGUGGCGAAGGCGACUUUCUGGUCUGUAACUGACGCUGAUGUGCGAAAGCGUGGGGAUCAAACAGG
RNAcentral lists this ribosomal RNA (429 nucleotides) under Actinomycetes bacterium. RNAcentral's name for it is "Actinobacteria bacterium partial 16S ribosomal RNA". It matches the Rfam family "Bacterial small subunit ribosomal RNA", at positions 355 to 776 of the family's 1533-position model. The record is from RNAcentral. Lineage: Bacteria; Bacillati; Actinomycetota; Actinomycetes.